GACGGGGGGGGCAAGCGUUGUUCGGAAUUACGGGGCGUAAAGGGCUCGUAGGUGGCCAACUAAGUCAGACGUGAAAUCCCUCGGCUUAACCGGGGAACUGCGUCUGAUACUGGAUGGCUUGAGUUUGGGAGAGGGAUGCGGAAUUCCAGGUGUAGCGGUGAAAUGCGUAGAUAUCUGGAGGAACACCGGUGGCGAAGGCGGCAUCCUGGACCAACACUGACACUGAGGAGCGAAAGCCAGGGGAGCAAACGGG
Molecule: ribosomal RNA, 253 nt
Filed under: uncultured bacterium
Lineage: Bacteria
Description: partial 16S ribosomal RNA
Rfam family: Bacterial small subunit ribosomal RNA
Source: RNAcentral